GAGUGUGCAGCUUAGUGGCCUCAGCUUUGCAAAAGCUGGUGAGAAGAUUUUAUCUUCCACGCUUU
This 65-nucleotide transfer RNA is filed under the name Rhinebothrium sp. 1. RNAcentral's name for it is "tRNA-Cys". The record is from RNAcentral. Lineage: Eukaryota; Metazoa; Platyhelminthes; Cestoda; Rhinebothriidea; Rhinebothriidae.